UAGGGAAUCUUCCACAAUGGGCGCAAGCCUGAUGGAGCAACACCGCGUGAGUGAAGAAGGGUUUCGGCUCGUAAAGCUCUGUUAGUUAAAGAAGAACACGUAUGAGAGUAACUGUUCAUACGUUGACGGUAUUUAACCAGAAAGUCACGGCUAACUACGUGCCAA
This 165-nucleotide ribosomal RNA is filed under the name uncultured bacterium. RNAcentral describes it as "partial 16S rRNA". It matches the Rfam family "Bacterial small subunit ribosomal RNA", at positions 355 to 511 of the family's 1533-position model. The record is from RNAcentral.